GAUGAAGAACGUAGUGAAAUGCGAUACUUGGUGUGAAUUGCAGAAUCCCGUGAACCAUCGAGUCUUUGAACGCAAGUUGCGCCCGAAGCCACUAGGCCGAGGGCACGCCUGCCUGGGCGUCACACGCCGUUGCCCCCCCAUCUACUCCUUCGGGGUUGCGGGGGGGCGGAUGAUGGCCUCCCGUGCGCCUAGCCGCGCGGUUGGCAUAAAUACCAAGUCCUCGGCGACGCACGCCACGACAAUCGGUGGUUGCGAAACCUCGGUUGCCCGUCGUGUGCGUUCGUCGCGCAUCGAGGGCUCGAAAAAAUGCUCGGCUCCGGCUGGGCUUUCAACGCGACCCCAGGUCAGGCGGGGUUACCCGCUGAAUUUAAGCAUAUCAAUAAGCGGAGGA
Molecule: unclassified non-coding RNA, 391 nt
Filed under: soil metagenome
Description: partial contains 5.8S ribosomal RNA, internal transcribed spacer 2, and large subunit ribosomal RNA
Rfam family: 5.8S ribosomal RNA (bases 1-122)
Source: RNAcentral